RNAcentral lists this unclassified non-coding RNA (332 nucleotides) under soil metagenome. RNAcentral describes it as "partial contains 5.8S ribosomal RNA, internal transcribed spacer 2, and large subunit ribosomal RNA". The stretch from base 3 to 121 matches the Rfam family "5.8S ribosomal RNA", at positions 36 to 154 of the family's 154-position model. The record is from RNAcentral.
GAAUGAAGAACGCAGCGAAAUGCGAUAAGUAAUGUGAAUUGCAGAAUUCAGUGAAUCAUCGAAUCUUUGAACGCACAUUGCGCCCCCUGGUAUUCCGGGGGGCAUGCCUGUUCGAGCGUCAUUUCACCACUCAAGCCUCGCUUGGUAUUGGGCAACGCGGUCCGCCGCGUGCCUCAAAUCGACCGGCUGGGUCUUCUGUCCCCUAAGCGUUGUGGAAACUAUUCGCUAAAGGGUGUUCGGGAGGCUACGCCGUAAAACAACCCCAUUUCUAAGGUUGACCUCGGAUCAGGUAGGGAUACCCGCUGAACUUAAGCAUAUCAAUAAGCGGAGGA